UGAUGAACGCUGGCGGCGUGCUUAACACAUGCAAGUCGAGCGAUGAAGUUUCCUUCGGGAAGCGGAUUAGCGGCGGACGGGUGAGUAACACGUGGGUAACCUGCCUCAUAGAGUGGAAUAGCCUUCCGAAAGGAAGAUUAAUACCGCAUAAUGUUGAAAGAUGGCAUCAUCAUUCAACCAAAGGAGCAAUCCGAUAUGAGAUGGACCCGCGGCGCAUUAGCUAGUUGGUGGGGUAACGGCCUACCAAGGCGACGAUGCGUAGCCGACCUGAGAGGGUGAUCGGCCACAUUGGGACUGAGACACGGCCCAGACUCCUACGGGAGGCAGCAGUGGGGAAUAUUGCACAAUGGGGGAAACCCUGAUGCAGCAACGCCGCGUGAGUGAUGAAGGUUUUCGGAUCGUAAAGCUCUGUCUUUGGGGAAGAUAAUGACGGUACCCAAGGAGGAAGCCACGGCUAACUACGUGCCAGCAGCCGCGGUAAUACGUAGGUGGCGAGCGUUAUCCGGAUUUACUGGGCGUAAAGGGAGCGUAGGCGGAUGAUUAAGUGGGAUGUGAAAUACCCGGGCUCAACUUGGGUGCUGCAUUCCAAACUGGUUAUCUAGAGUGCAGGAGAGGAGAGUGGAAUUCCUAGUGUAGCGGUGAAAUGCGUAGAGAUUAGGAAGAACACCAGUGGCGAAGGCGACUCUCUGGACUGUAACUGACGCUGAGGCUCGAAAGCGUGGGGAGCAAACAGGAUUAGAUACCCUGGUAGUCCACGCCGUAAACGAUGGAUACUAGGUGUGGGGGUUUCAACACCUCCGUGCCGCCGCUAACGCAUUAAGUAUUCCGCCUGGGGAGUACGGUCGCAAGAUUAAAACUCAAAGGAAUUGACGGGGACCCGCACAAGUAGCGGAGCAUGCGGUUUAAUUCGAAGCAACGCGAAGAACCUUACCUACACUUGACAUCCCUUGCAUUACUCUUAAUCGAGGAAAUCCCUUCGGGGACAAGGUGACAGGUGGUGCAUGGUUGUCGUCAGCUCGUGUCGUGAGAUGUUGGGUUAAGUCCCGCAACGAGCGCAACCCUUGUCGUUAGUUACUACCAUUAAGUUGAGGACUCUAGCGAGACUGCCUGGGUUAACCAGGAGGAAGGUGGGGAUGACGUCAAAUCAUCAUGCCCCUUAUGUGUAGGGCUACACACGUGCUACAAUGGCUGGUACAGAGAGAUGCAAUACCGCGAGGUGGAGCCAAACUUAAAAACCAGUCUCAGUUCGGAUUGUAGGCUGAAACUCGCCUACAUGAAGCUGGAGUUACUAGUAAUCGCGAAUCAGAAUGUCGCGGUGAAUACGUUCCCGGGUCUUGUACACACCGCCCGUCACACCAUGAGAGUUGGCAAUACCCGAAGUCCGUGAGCUAACCGCAAGGAGGCAGCGGCCGAAGGUAGGGU
RNAcentral lists this ribosomal RNA (1422 nucleotides) under uncultured organism. Its description in RNAcentral is "partial small subunit ribosomal RNA". It matches the Rfam family "Bacterial small subunit ribosomal RNA". The record is from RNAcentral.